RNAcentral lists this ribosomal RNA (447 nucleotides) under uncultured bacterium. RNAcentral's name for it is "bacterial SSU rRNA". It matches the Rfam family "Bacterial small subunit ribosomal RNA", at positions 329 to 792 of the family's 1533-position model. The record is from RNAcentral.
UGCCAGACUCCUACGGGAGGCAGCAGUGGGGGAUAUUGCACAAUGGGGGAAACCCUGAUGCAGCGACGCCGCGUGAGUGAAGAAGUAUUUCGGUAUGUAAAGCUCUAUCAGCAGGGAAGAAAAAAGACGGUACCUGACUAAGAAGCCCCGGCUAACUACGUGCCAGCAGCCGCGGUAAUACGUGGGGGGCAAGCGUUAUCCGGAUUUACUGGGUGUAAAGGGAGCGUAGACGGCAAUACAAGUCGGAAGUGAAAUACCCGGGCUCAACCUGGGAACUGCUUUGGAAACUGUAUGGCUGGAGUGCCGGAGGGGCAGGCGGAAUUCCUGGUGUAGCGGUGAAAUGCGUAGAUAUCAGGAGGAACACCGGUGGCGAAGGCGGCCUGCUGGACGGAUACUGACGCUGAGGCCCGAAAGCGUGGGGAGCGAACAGGAUUAGAUACCCUUGUA